AAAGUCUGAAAAGAAGAGACUUUGGUUUAUUAGAAUAAUAAUCGUUUCACCUUUCGGCCAACAAAGGGAGAUGAGAAGACGAGAUCCUCGUAGACGCAGUCCUGAGCGAUGAGGUCUGUGACAGAGGAUAAAUCAUGGACGUUAACGGCGGCGUAGAAGCUGGAGACGACCUCCGACGCUGAUGUCGGAGCUGUUUCUGGAACAACGUCGUUGGCUGUAGCAGCUUUUGCAGCUGGACCAUAGGAUGCGGACAAUCUCGGAGGCUGUGAAUGAGUGAGGCUUGUUGGCUUGACAAGUUUGGUUGGGAGGAAGAAGGAAGGAGGAAGAUGGUUGAGCGAGACGAGUGAGGGAGACGUCAAAUAAGAGACGAGAGAAGCAGUGAAGCUCAUCGUCGUUU
Molecule: long non-coding RNA, 397 nt
Organism: Arabidopsis thaliana (thale cress)
Lineage: Eukaryota; Viridiplantae; Streptophyta; Magnoliopsida; Brassicales; Brassicaceae
Product: other RNA
Exons: 1
Source: RefSeq